This 493-nucleotide ribosomal RNA is filed under the name Bacillus sp. HPC 857. RNAcentral's name for it is "partial 16S ribosomal RNA". It matches the Rfam family "Bacterial small subunit ribosomal RNA", at positions 62 to 528 of the family's 1533-position model. Lineage: Bacteria; Bacillati; Bacillota; Bacilli; Caryophanales; Bacillaceae. The record is from RNAcentral.
UUUACUCNNGUCCCAGUAGAUUUUGAACAGUGGCCCUCCAAAUUUUNAACAGGGACCCCUNAAUUUUUAACGGGGGACCCAAAAUUUUUUNUGGGGUACCUCCGGGAAACCGGGGCUAAUACCGAAUAAUCUCUUUUGCUUCAUGGUAAAAGACUGAAAGACGGUUUCGGCUGUCGCUAUAGGAUGGGCCCGCGGCGCAUUAGCUAGUUGGUGAGGUAACGGCUCACCAAGGCGACGAUGCGUAGCCGACCUGAGAGGGUGAUCGGCCACACUGGGACUGAGACACGGCCCAAACUCCUACGGGAGGCAGCAGUAGGGAAUCUUCCACAAUGGGCGAAAGCCUGAUGGAGCAACGCCGCGUGAGUGAAGAAGGUUUUCGGAUCNUAAAACUCUGUUGUAAGGGAAAAACAAUUACAUUAUUAACUGGCUGUACCUUGACNGUACCUUAUUAAAACCCACNNCUAACUACNUNCCNNCNNCCNCNNUAAUNCNA